GACGAACGCUGGCGGCGUGCUUAACACAUGCAAGUCGAACGGAAAGGCCCUGCUUUUGUGGGGUGCUCGAGUGGCGAACGGGUGAGUAACACGUGAGUAACCUGCCCUUGACUUUGGGAUAACCUCAUGAAACUGGGGCUAAUACCGGAUAGGAGCUCCUGCUGCAUGGUGGGGGUUGGAAAGUUUCGGCGGUUGGGGAUGGACUCGCGGCCUAUCAGCUUGUUGGUUGGGUAGUGGCUUAGCAUGGCUUUGACGGGUAGCAUGGCUGAGAGGGGAACCGGCCACGUUGGGACGGAGAUGCGACACAGACUCGUAUCGGACGGGAGAGUGGAGUAUAGUGUACUAUGGGAGGGAGCCUGAUGUGGCCAAGCCGCGUGGGGGAUGACAGGCAGCGCGUUGUAUUCCAAUUUCGUCUGUGACGAGGUGUGAGUGACGGUAAUGGGUGAAGAAGCACCGGCUAACUACGUG
Molecule: ribosomal RNA, 468 nt
Filed under: uncultured bacterium
Lineage: Bacteria
Description: partial 16S ribosomal RNA
Rfam family: Bacterial small subunit ribosomal RNA
Source: RNAcentral